Molecule: non-coding RNA, 387 nt
Organism: Salmo salar (Atlantic salmon)
Lineage: Eukaryota; Metazoa; Chordata; Actinopteri; Salmoniformes; Salmonidae
Source: RefSeq, a predicted model, not a curated record
CACACUACACUGUCCUGGAAUACCAGCUACGAUACUGUCCCAAGGACGGUCCAGAGUCUGGUCAGUGGCAGUAUGUAACCAGCGUGGUCAGUAGUGUUGUGGUCAGUAACCUCCAGAGGUCUACUAGUUACCAGGUGCAGGUCAGAGCCAGGACCAUGGCUGGAUACAGCAACUUCUCCCCAGCCUCGACCUUCACCACCCUGCCUGACAAAGUAGAGGCCCACUCUCAGCUGAUGGUGACAGGUGUUCUGGUUGCCAUGGGGAUACUCCUCCUUAUCACCGCGGUGAUCAUUGCUGGAUACUGCUACUGGUAAGAGAGAAAGGAGGAGGGGAGGAGAGUAAGAGGAGAGAAGAGGACAUGAAAAGGAGAGCUAGAGGACAGGAAGA